GGUUAAGCGACUAAGCGUACACGGUGGAUGCCCUGGCAGUCAGAGGCGAUGAAGGACGUGCUAAUCUGCGAUAAGCGUCGGUAAGGUGAUAUGAACCGUUAUAACCGGCGAUUUCCGAAUGGGGAAACCCAGUGUGUUUCGACACACUAUCAUUAACUGAAUCCAUAGGUUAAUGAGGCGAACCGGGGGAACUGAAACAUCUAAGUACCCCGAGGAAAAGAAAUCAACCGAGAUUCCCCCAGUAGCGGCGAGCGAACGGGGAGCAGCCCAGAGCCUGAAUCAGUGUGUGUGUUAGUGGAAGCGUCUGGAAAGGCGCGCGAUACAGGGUGACAGCCCCGUACACAAAAAUGCACAUACUGUGAGCUCGAUGAGUAGGGCGGGACACGUGGUAUCCUGUCUGAAUAUGGGGGGACCAUCCUCCAAGGCUAAAUACUCCUGACUGACCGAUAGUGAACCAGUACCGUGAGGGAAAGGCGAAAAGAACCCCGGCGAGGGGAGUGAAAAAGAACCUGAAACCGUGUACGUACAAGCAGUGGGAGCCUCUUAAUGGGGUGACUGCGUACCUUUUGUAUAAUGGGUCAGCGACUUAUAUUCUGUAGCAAGGUUAACCGAAUAGGGGAGCCGAAGGGAAACCGAGUCUUAACUGGGCGUUAAGUUGCAGGGUAUAGACCCGAAACCCGGUGAUCUAGCCAUGGGCAGGUUGAAGGUUGGGUAACACUAACUGGAGGACCGAACCGACUAAUGUUGAAAAAUUAGCGGAUGACUUGUGGCUGGGGGUGAAAGGCCAAUCAAACCGGGAGAUAGCUGGUUCUCCCCGAAAGCUAUUUAGGUAGCGCCUCGUGAAUUCAUCUCCGGGGGUAGAGCACUGUUUCGGCAAGGGGGUCAUCCCGACUUACCAACCCGAUGCAAACUGCGAAUACCGGAGAAUGUUAUCACGGGAGACACACGGCGGGUGCUAACGUCCGUCGUGAAGAGGGAAACAACCCAGACCGCCAGCUAAGGUCCCAAAGUCAUGGUUAAGUGGGAAACGAUGUGGGAAGGCCCAGACAGCCAGGAUGUUGGCUUAGAAGCAGCCAUCAUUUAAAGAAAGCGUAAUAGCUCACUGGUCGAGUCGGCCUGCGCGGAAGAUGUAACGGGGCUAAACCAUGCACCGAAGCUGCGGCAGCGACACUAUGUGUUGUUGGGUAGGGGAGCGUUCUGUAAGCCUGUGAAGGUGUACUGUGAGGUAUGCUGGAGGUAUCAGAAGUGCGAAUGCUGACAUAAGUAACGAUAAAGCGGGUGAAAAGCCCGCUCGCCGGAAGACCAAGGGUUCCUGUCCAACGUUAAUCGGGGCAGGGUGAGUCGACCCCUAAGGCGAGGCCGAAAGGCGUAGUCGAUGGGAAACAGGUUAAUAUUCCUGUACUUGGUGUUACUGCGAAGGGGGGACGGAGAAGGCUAUGUUGGCCGGGCGACGGUUGUCCCGGUUUAAGCGUGUAGGCUGGUUUUCCAGGCAAAUCCGGAAAAUCAAGGCUGAGGCGUGAUGACGAGGCACUACGGUGCUGAAGCAACAAAUGCCCUGCUUCCAGGAAAAGCCUCUAAGCAUCAGGUAACAUCAAAUCGUACCCCAAACCGACACAGGUGGUCAGGUAGAGAAUACCAAGGCGCUUGAGAGAACUCGGGUGAAGGAACUAGGCAAAAUGGUGCCGUAACUUCGGGAGAAGGCACGCUGAUAUGUAGGUGAAGUCCCUUGCGGAUGGAGCUGAAAUCAGUCGAAGAUACCAGCUGGCUGCAACUGUUUAUUAAAAACACAGCACUGUGCAAACACGAAAGUGGACGUAUACGGUGUGACGCCUGCCCGGUGCCGGAAGGUUAAUUGAUGGGGUUAGCGGUAACGCGAAGCUCUUGAUCGAAGCCCCGGUAAACGGCGGCCGUAACUAUAACGGUCCUAAGGUAGCGAAAUUCCUUGUCGGGUAAGUUCCGACCUGCACGAAUGGCGUAAUGAUGGCCAGGCUGUCUCCACCCGAGACUCAGUGAAAUUGAACUCGCUGUGAAGAUGCAGUGUACCCGCGGCAAGACGGAAAGACCCCGUGAACCUUUACUAUAGCUUGACACUGAACAUUGAGCCUUGAUGUGUAGGAUAGGUGGGAGGCUUUGAAGUGUGGACGCCAGUCUGCAUGGAGCCGGCCUUGAAAUACCACCCUUUAAUGUUUGAUGUUCUAACGUUGGCCCCUUACCGGGGUUGCGGACAGUGUCUGGUGGGUAGUUUGACUGGGGCGGUCUCCUCCUAAAGAGUAACGGAGGAGCACGAAGGUUGGCUAAUCCUGGUCGGACAUCAGGAGGUUAGUGCAAUGGCAUAAGCCAGCUUGACUGCGAGCGUGACGGCGCGAGCAGGUGCGAAAGCAGGUCAUAGUGAUCCGGUGGUUCUGAAUGGAAGGGCCAUCGCUCAACGGAUAAAAGGUACUCCGGGGAUAACAGGCUGAUACCGCCCAAGAGUUCAUAUCGACGGCGGUGUUUGGCACCUCGAUGUCGGCUCAUCACAUCCUGGGGCUGAAGUAGGUCCCAAGGGUAUGGCUGUUCGCCAUUUAAAGUGGUACGCGAGCUGGGUUUAGAACGUCGUGAGACAGUUCGGUCCCUAUCUGCCGUGGGCGCUGGAGAACUGAGGGGGGCUGCUCCUAGUACGAGAGGACCGGAGUGGACGCAUCACUGGUGUUCGGGUUGUCAUGCCAAUGGCACUGCCCGGUAGCUAAAUGCGGAAGAGAUAAGUGCUGAAAGCAUCUAAGCACGAAACUUGCCCCGAGAUGAGUUCUCCCUGACUCCUUGAGAGUCCUGAAGGAACGUUGAAGACGACGACGUUGAUAGGCCGGGUGUGUAAGCGCAGCGAUGCGUUGAGCUAACCGGUACUAAUGAACCGUGAGGCUUAACCUU
This 2904-nucleotide ribosomal RNA is filed under the name Escherichia coli. RNAcentral's name for it is "23S ribosomal RNA". It matches the Rfam family "Bacterial large subunit ribosomal RNA". Lineage: Bacteria; Pseudomonadati; Pseudomonadota; Gammaproteobacteria; Enterobacterales; Enterobacteriaceae. The record is from RNAcentral.